GAUGAACGCUGGCGGCGUGCUUAACACAUGCAAGUCGAACGGAAAGGCUCCUGCUUGCAGGGGUACUCGAGUGGCGAACGGGUGAGUAACACGUGGGUGAUCUGCCCUGCACUUCGGGAUAAGCCUGGGAAACUGGGUCUAAUACCGGAUAGGACGAUGGUUUGGAUGCCAUUGUGGAAAGUUUUUCGGUGUGGGAUGAGCUCGCGGCCUAUCAGCUUGUUGGUGGGGUAAUGGCCUACCAAGGCGUCGACGGGUAGCCGGCCUGAGAGGGUGUACGGCCACAUUGGGACUGAGAUACGGCCCAGACUCCUACGGGAGGCAGCAGUGGGGAAUAUUGCACAAUGGGCGCAAGCCUGAUGCAGCGACGCCGCGUGGGGGACGACGGCCUUCGGGUUGUAAACUCCUUUCGCUAGGGACGAAGCGCAAGUGACGGUACCUGGAGAAGAAGCACCGGCUAACUACGUG
This 465-nucleotide ribosomal RNA is filed under the name uncultured bacterium. RNAcentral describes it as "partial 16S ribosomal RNA". It matches the Rfam family "Bacterial small subunit ribosomal RNA", at positions 28 to 507 of the family's 1533-position model. The record is from RNAcentral.